UGGUGGAGUGAUUUGUCUGGUUAAUUCCGUUAACGAACGAGACCUCCGCCUGCUAAAUAGUCUGGGGACGUGCGCGUCCCGCGGACUUCUUAGAGGGACUAUGGGUGUUUAGCUCAUGGAAGUCGGAGGCAAUAACA
RNAcentral lists this ribosomal RNA (137 nucleotides) under uncultured eukaryote. Its description in RNAcentral is "partial 18S ribosomal RNA". It matches the Rfam family "Eukaryotic small subunit ribosomal RNA", at positions 1299 to 1458 of the family's 1831-position model. The record is from RNAcentral.